GAUGAACGCUGGCGGCGUGCUUAACACAUGCAAGUCGAACGAAGAUGCCGGAGUGCUUGCACUUUGGCAGACUGAGUGGCGGACGGGUGAGUAACGCGUGGGUAGCCUGCCUUAUACAGGGGGAUAACAGUUGGAAACGACUGCUAAUACCGCAUAAGCCCACGGUGCCGCAUGGCACUGCGGGAAAAGGAUUUAUUCGCUCUAGGAUGGACUCGCGUCCAAUUAGCUAGUUGGUGAGGUAACGGCCCACCAAGGCGACGAUUGGUAGCCGGACUGAGAGGUUGAACGGCACAUUGGGACUGAGACACGGCCCAGACUCCUACGGGAGGCAGCAGUGGGGGAUAUUGCACAAUGGGGGAAACCCUGAUGCAGCGACGCCGCGUGGAGGAAGAAGGUUUUCGGAUUGGUAAACUCCUGUCGUUAGGGACGAUAAUGACGGUACCUAACAAGAAAGCACCGGCUAACUACGUG
RNAcentral lists this ribosomal RNA (471 nucleotides) under uncultured bacterium. RNAcentral's name for it is "bacterial SSU rRNA". It matches the Rfam family "Bacterial small subunit ribosomal RNA", at positions 28 to 507 of the family's 1533-position model. The record is from RNAcentral.